ACUCUUGCCCUGUUGCCCAGGCUGGAAUGCAAUGGCGUGAUCUCAGCUCACUGCAACUUCCGCUUCCUGGAUUCAAGUGAUUCUCAUGCCUCAGCCUCCCGAAUAGCUGGGAUUACAGGCACUGCGCUCAGGGCGGGGAUUUGGGACUCACCAGGGCAUGAGGCGACGUGCCUCUGUCCUCACGGAGCCUAAGUGCUGGUGGAGACGGACAGUGCAGAUGCCAACCGCAGAUGACGAAGCACUUGCAGUCAGGAAGACUGUCACCAUGGUGGCAUGCAAAUGACAGAGACGUGUGGGACAGCGUCUGCCAAGAGACGAGCCAGAAGUGACAGGCUCAUGGCCAGAGACGACACAACAGAGAAAAUGAAUCAAGAUGAAAACAAGAAUAAGAAUCAUUCCCCUUCCUGGCCGGGCGCAGUAGCUCACUUUGGGAGACCAAGAGAAUUCAUGGCUGGGACCAGCUAGUCCUUGGCUCCACCUUCUUGGGAGCAGAUUAAAUACGACUUCAAGCCAGUGAGGUGAUUUGAGUCCCAGCAGCCUCAUCUGCCAAGUCAGCCCCAGCACUGCAUUGAGAAAGGGUCUUGCUCUGUUGCCUCGGCUGUAGUUUUGAACUUGGAUGUGAAGAAAUUCUCCUGCGUGGCUGCUCCUGUGCUGCAUUGGGUCUGAGCAUUUGCUCGAUGUCUAUUUUUGUCCUGCAUUCUCUUCCUGAGACCCAUCCACACUGACAUGGUUCAUUUUCAUUGCUGCGUGAUCGCCCGUGGUUGCUCUAUCUAACCAUCCAUCCAUCCACCUAUCCAUCCAUCUAACCAUCCCUCCAUCCAACCAUCCAUCCACCCAUCCGUCCAUCCUUCCAUUUGGCCAUCCAUCAAUCCAUUCGUCCACCCAUCCAUCCAUCCAUCCAGGUAAGCCGUACACCAAAAUAACAUUGCUCAUCUUUAGUUGAUUGUGUCAGUGGUGACGUUAAAAUUUUUUCUUCAAGUUUUACUUUAUAUUUGAACCUCUAAGAUA
Long non-coding RNA from Gorilla gorilla gorilla (western lowland gorilla), 1008 nucleotides. RefSeq lists it as uncharacterized. Lineage: Eukaryota; Metazoa; Chordata; Mammalia; Primates; Hominidae. The transcript is spliced from 7 exons. The record is from RefSeq and is a predicted model, not a curated record.